UCGGGAAUUUUGGGCAAUGGGCGAAAGCCUGACCCAGCAACGCCGCGUGAGGGAUGAAGUAUUUCGGUAUGUAAACCUCGAAAGAAUGGGAAGAAUAAAUGACGGUACCAUUUAUAAGCUCCGGCUAACUACGUGCCAGCAGCCGCGGUAAUACGUAGGGAGCAAGCGUUGUUCGGAUUUACUGGGCGUAAAGGGCGCGUAGGCGGCGCGGUAAGUCACUUGUGAAAUCUCUGAGCUUAGCUCAGAACGGCCAAGUGAUACUGCUGUGCUAGAGUGCGGAAGAGGCAACCGGAAUUCUUGGUGUAGCGGUGAAAUGCGUAGAUAUCAAGAGGAACACCUGAGGCGAAGGCGGGUUGCUGGGCCGACACUGACGCUGAUGCGCGAAAACCAGGGGAGCAAACG
This 402-nucleotide ribosomal RNA is filed under the name uncultured bacterium. RNAcentral's name for it is "bacterial SSU rRNA". It matches the Rfam family "Bacterial small subunit ribosomal RNA", at positions 355 to 774 of the family's 1533-position model. The record is from RNAcentral.